UACGGAGGGUGCAAGCGUUGCUCGGAAUCACUGGGCGUAAAGCGUACGCAGGCGGCUUGGUAAGUUGGGUGUGAAAUCCCGGGGCUCAACCCCGGAACUGCAUUCAAGACUGCCUAGCUUGAGUACGGGAGAGGGAAGCGGAAUUCCUGGUGUAGAGGUGAAAUUCGUAGAUAUCAGGAGGAACACCAGUGGCGAAAGCGGCUUCCUGGCCCGAUACUGACGCUCAUGUACGAAAGCGUGGGGAGCAAACAGG
Molecule: ribosomal RNA, 253 nt
Filed under: uncultured bacterium
Lineage: Bacteria
Description: partial 16S ribosomal RNA
Rfam family: Bacterial small subunit ribosomal RNA
Source: RNAcentral